RNAcentral lists this long non-coding RNA (665 nucleotides) under Mus pahari (shrew mouse). Its description in RNAcentral is "lncRNA (MGP_PahariEiJ_G0005870.1)". The record is from RNAcentral. Lineage: Eukaryota; Metazoa; Chordata; Mammalia; Rodentia; Muridae.
GGCCUGUGUAUGGAGACAGGAGGUCUAUGGGAAGUCUUUGAACCUUCAGUUCAAAUUCGCUAUGGAGCUAAAACAAAAAAAAAAUAAAAACACCCUAAAAAUUCAAAAGCAGAAGAAAGGAGGAGGAAGAAGAGAAAUGGGGAGAAAGGAUCAGAAUGAAGCCUACUGGAUAGACAUAGAGAAAUAUGAGUCCUCCAGUGGAAGGACAGAAGUAAAACACAGCUGGCCAGCACUGUGCUAGUCAUCUAACUUAACCCUUACCUCCAUGUCCCUGCCCUGUUACAUCCGUCACUGUCAUCAUCCUCAUACAAAUGAGGAAAACAGAGCCAGCAGCUUGUUCUCUGGGAGCUAUGGGCUGUGGAGUUCCAGCCCAUCCUGGUGGACCUUGAUGGUUUAACUUCAAAGCAAGAGUGUAGUUGGUACCCACUGCACUAAGCAGAUAUGGUGGAUUUGAACCAUUGACUUCCCUCAGCAUGCAAACUGACCCGGAAAGAAUCUUGUAUUCAUUAGGCUCAUUGGGAGUGUCACUACUAGGUGCUAUGGCCUUGGAGGAAGUGUGUCUCUCUCUUUUCCUCCUGCCUGCCAAUUUGGAUGUAGAAUUCUCAGUUCCUUCUCCAGCACCAUGUCUGCCUGUGAUGAUAAUGAACAAAACCUGAACUGUAAUC